ACACAGGUGGUCGGGUAGAGAAUACCAAGGCGCUUGAGAGAACUCGGGUGAAGGAACUAGGCAAAAUGGUACCGUAACUUCGGGAGAAGGUACGCUCUCGACGGUGAAGUCCCUCGCGGAUGGAGCUGACGAGAGUCGCAGAUACCAGGUGGCUGCAACUGUUUAUUAAAAACACAGCACUGUGCAAAAUCGUAAGAUGACGUAUACGGUGUGACGCCUGCCCGGUGCCGGAAGGUUAAUUG
Molecule: ribosomal RNA, 242 nt
Filed under: Vibrio parahaemolyticus
Lineage: Bacteria; Pseudomonadati; Pseudomonadota; Gammaproteobacteria; Vibrionales; Vibrionaceae
Description: partial 23S ribosomal RNA
Rfam family: Bacterial large subunit ribosomal RNA
Source: RNAcentral